CACAUGACUCUCGGCAACGGAUAUCUCGGCUCUUGCAUCGAUGAAGAACGUAGCAAAAUGCGAUACCUGGUGUGAAUUGCAGAAUCCCGUGAACCAUCGAGUUUUUGAACGCAAGUUGCGCCUAAGGCCUUUUGGCCAAGGGCACGUCUGCCUGGGCGUCACGC
Molecule: ribosomal RNA, 164 nt
Filed under: Chloris nutans
Lineage: Eukaryota; Viridiplantae; Streptophyta; Magnoliopsida; Poales; Poaceae
Also listed under: 1 other name
Description: 5.8S ribosomal RNA
Rfam family: 5.8S ribosomal RNA
About the family: 5.8S ribosomal RNA (5.8S rRNA) is a component of the large subunit of the eukaryotic ribosome.
Source: RNAcentral